CCGACCUUGAUCUUCUGAGA
This 20-nucleotide small nuclear RNA is filed under the name Arabidopsis thaliana (thale cress). RNAcentral's name for it is "snRNA_04932". The record is from RNAcentral. Lineage: Eukaryota; Viridiplantae; Streptophyta; Magnoliopsida; Brassicales; Brassicaceae.